Molecule: ribosomal RNA, 532 nt
Filed under: Pseudomonas cedrina subsp. cedrina
Lineage: Bacteria; Pseudomonadati; Pseudomonadota; Gammaproteobacteria; Pseudomonadales; Pseudomonadaceae
Description: bacterial SSU rRNA
Rfam family: Bacterial small subunit ribosomal RNA
Source: RNAcentral
AAUCUGCCUGGUAGUGGGGGAUAACGUUCGGAAACGGACGCUAAUACCGCAUACGUCCUACGGGAGAAAGCAGGGGACCUUCGGGCCUUGCGCUAUCAGAUGAGCCUAGGUCGGAUUAGCUAGUUGGUGAGGUAAUGGCUCACCAAGGCGACGAUCCGUAACUGGUCUGAGAGGAUGAUCAGUCACACUGGAACUGAGACACGGUCCAGACUCCUACGGGAGGCAGCAGUGGGGAAUAUUGGACAAUGGGCGAAAGCCUGAUCCAGCCAUGCCGCGUGUGUGAAGAAGGUCUUCGGAUUGUAAAGCACUUUAAGUUGGGAGGAAGGGUUGUAGAUUAAUACUCUGCAAUUUUGACGUUACCGACAGAAUAAGCACCGGCUAACUCUGUGCCAGCAGCCGCGGUAAUACAGAGGGUGCAAGCGUUAAUCGGAAUUACUGGGCGUAAAGCGCGCGUAGGUGGUUUGUUAAGUUGGAUGUGAAAUCCCCGGGCUCAACCUGGGAACUGCAUUCAAAACUGACUGACUAGAGUAUG